RNAcentral lists this long non-coding RNA (329 nucleotides) under Elaeis guineensis (African oil palm). RNAcentral describes it as "long non-coding RNA (EGUI_LNC009261)". Lineage: Eukaryota; Viridiplantae; Streptophyta; Magnoliopsida; Arecales; Arecaceae. The record is from RNAcentral.
UUCACCAAAAAAUGUCUGGCCACGAAAUCAAGAGUCUUCAGUGAAGAGAUCACUACCGGCUUUAAAGGAGUGGUGGCAUCACAGUUGGAAAUAUUUCUAUACAUCUAUUAAAUAAAAUCAGCCUUCAUGGUAUAUAAUUGCAGCCUAUGUUGAUUUUCAGCUCCAUCCACAUCUUAUUUUGCGGCUUAUAGAAUUAGAUAUAAUAAGAAUAGCAAUUGGUGAUCAUCAUCAUGCAGCUAUCCUUUCCAGUAGAUAUAACAAGAACGGCAAUCGGUGAUGGUCACCAUCCAGUUAUCCUCUUUAAUAGACGUAACAAAAUGGCAGUCAGA